AUGACAGAUCACUUUUUGCAGUGUUGUGAGACUUCAUUUUAUUGCAUCCUUUACAUGCCUGUAAAUAUAACAGACAAUGACCAUGUGAUGGAUGUGUGAGCCUCAAUACAAAAAUAUGUUAACUGUAGUUAAAAUCAAGAGAUACUAUUUUGUAAUGGGUAACCCAGUUGAAUGUGUAGCAUUUGCAAUGAGCAUGAGACAUAGGAAUGCCCUAAUAGUUGGAUCACGGUGCAGUUAUUAAACUAGACAUGAAGCAAGCUAAUAUAUUGUUAAUAUUCUAUAAUAUUCCAGAAAUAUGCCAAACACAAGUUUAUUACUUAAUCAAAAGUGCUAAGUAUCAUCUCCUGCAAAGUUAUUAUGGUUGCCUGCCUUUUUUUUUUUGAGAGACGCCUCAUAUUACUUGCACAUAUAAUAUUGCCUAACUAAAGCACUUUGUUUCCCCAAUAUAAUCUCUGAUUAUAUUGAAGUGA
Molecule: unclassified non-coding RNA, 470 nt
Filed under: Hevea brasiliensis (rubber tree)
Lineage: Eukaryota; Viridiplantae; Streptophyta; Magnoliopsida; Malpighiales; Euphorbiaceae
Source: RNAcentral